This 1346-nucleotide ribosomal RNA is filed under the name uncultured bacterium. RNAcentral describes it as "partial 16S ribosomal RNA". It matches the Rfam family "Bacterial small subunit ribosomal RNA", at positions 28 to 1381 of the family's 1533-position model. The record is from RNAcentral.
GACGAACGCUGGCGGCGUGCUUAACACAUGCAAGUCGAACGGAAAGGCCCUGCUUUUGUGGGGUGCUCGAGUGGCGAACGGGUGAGUAACACGUGAGUAACCUGCCCUUGACUUUGGGAUAACUUCAGGAAACUGGGGCUAAUACCGGAUAGGAGCUCCUGCUGCAUGGUGGGGGUUGGAAAGUUUCGGCGGUUGGGGAUGGACUCGCGGCUUAUCAGCUUGUUGGUGGGGUAGUGGCUUACCAAGGCUUUGACGGGUAGCCGGCCUGAGAGGGUGACCGGCCACAUUGGGACUGAGAUACGGCCCAGACUCCUACGGGAGGCAGCAGUGGGGAAUAUUGCACAAUGGGCGGAAGCCUGAUGCAGCAACGCCGCGUGCGGGAUGACGGCCUUCGGGUUGUAAACCGCUUUCGCCUGUGACGAAGCGUGAGUGACGGUAAUGGGUAAAGAAGCACCGGCUAACUACGUGCCAGCAGCCGCGGUGAUACGUAGGGUGCGAGCGUUGUCCGGAUUUAUUGGGCGUAAAGGGCUCGUAGGUGGUUGAUCGCGUCGGAAGUGUAAUCUUGGGGCUUAACCCUGAGCGUGCUUUCGAUACGGGUUGACUUGAGGAAGGUAGGGGAGAAUGGAAUUCCUGGUGGAGCGGUGGAAUGCGCAGAUAUCAGGAGGAACACCAGUGGCGAAGGCGGUUCUCUGGGCCUUUCCUGACGCUGAGGAGCGAAAGCGUGGGGAGCGAACAGGCUUAGAUACCCUGGUAGUCCACGCUGUAAACGGUGGGUACUAGGUGUGGGGUCCAUUCCACGGGUUCCGUGCCGUAGCUAACGCUUUAAGUACCCCGCCUGGGGAGUACGGCCGCAAGGCUAAAACUCAAAGGAAUUGACGGGGCCCCGCACAAGCGGCGGAGCACGCGGAUUAAUUCGAUGCAACGCGUAGAACCUUACCUGGGUUUGACAUGGAUCGGGAGUGCUCAGAGAUGGGUGUGCCUCUUUUGGGGUCGGUUCACAGGUGGUGCAUGGCUGUCGUCAGCUCGUGUCGUGAGAUGUUGGGUUAAGUCCCGCAACGAGCGCAACCCUUGUUCACUGUUGCCAGCACGUUAUGGUGGGGACUCAGUGGAGACCGCCGGGGUCAACUCGGAGGAAGGUGGGGAUGACGUCAAGUCAUCAUGCCCCUUAUGUCCAGGGCUUCACGCAUGCUACAAUGGCUGGUACAGAGAGUGGCGAGCCUGUGAGGGUGAGCGAAUCUCGGAAAGUCGGUCUCAGUUCGGAUUGGGGUCUGCAACUCGACCUCAUGAAGUCGGAGUCGCUAGUAAUCGCAGAUCAGCAACGCUGCGGUGAAUACGUUCCCGGGGCU